AUAGCGUAUAUUAAAUUUGUUGCAGUUGAAAAGUUCGUAGUUGGAUUUCUGGGUUUGGGUGGUGGUUCGCCGCAAGGUGUACACUGUCACUGGAGCCCAUCCUCUCGAAGACGAGGCGUGUUCUUAACCGGGUGCGUCAUGGACUCGAGACUUUUACUUUGAAAAAAUUAGAGUGUUCAAAGCAGGCUUACGCUUGAAUACUUCAGCAUGGAAUAAUGGAAUAGGACUUUGGUUUUAUUUUGUUGGUUUCUAAGACCGAAGUAAUGAUUAAUAGGGACAGUUGGGGGCAUUAGUAUUUAAUUGUCAGAGGUGAAAUUCUUGGAUUUAUGAAAGACUAACUUCUG
This 344-nucleotide ribosomal RNA is filed under the name uncultured eukaryote. Its description in RNAcentral is "SSU rRNA". It matches the Rfam family "Eukaryotic small subunit ribosomal RNA", at positions 594 to 945 of the family's 1831-position model. The record is from RNAcentral.